Molecule: ribosomal RNA, 697 nt
Filed under: uncultured Serratia sp.
Lineage: Bacteria; Pseudomonadati; Pseudomonadota; Gammaproteobacteria; Enterobacterales; Yersiniaceae
Description: bacterial SSU rRNA
Rfam family: Bacterial small subunit ribosomal RNA
Source: RNAcentral
AAACGAUGUCGAUUUGGAGGUUGUGCCCAUGAGACGUGGCUUCCGGAGCUAACGCGUUAAAUCGACCGCUGGGGAGUACGGCCGCAAGGUUAAAACUCAAAUGAAUUGACGGGGGCCCGCACAAGCGGUGGAGCAUGUGGUUUAAUUCGAUGCAACGCGAAGAACCUUACCUACUCUUGACAUCCAGAGAACUUUCCAGAGAUGGAUUGGUGCCUUCGGGAACUCUGAGACAGGUGCUGCAUGGCUGUCGUCAGCUCGUGUUGUGAAAUGUUGGGUUAAGUCCCGCAACGAGCGCAACCCUUAUCCUUUGUUGCCAGCGGUUCGGCCGGGAACUCAAAGGAGACUGCCAGUGAUAAACUGGAGGAAGGUGGGGAUGACGUCAAGUCAUCAUGGCCCUUACGAGUAGGGCUACACACGUGCUACAAUGGCGUAUACAAAGAGAAGCGACCUCGCGAGAGCAAGCGGACCUCAUAAAGUACGUCGUAGUCCGGAUUGGAGUCUGCAACUCGACUCCAUGAAGUCGGAAUCGCUAGUAAUCGUAGAUCAGAAUGCUACGGUGAAUACGUUCCCGGGCCUUGUACACACCGCCCGUCACACCAUGGGAGUGGGUUGCAAAAGAAGUAGGUAGCUUAACCUUCGGGAGGGCGCUUACCACUUUGUGAUUCAUGACUGGGGUGAAGUCGUAACAAGGUAACCA